RNAcentral lists this transfer RNA (70 nucleotides) under Bacillota bacterium. RNAcentral describes it as "tRNA-Ile". It matches the Rfam family "tRNA". From Rfam's summary of the family: Transfer RNA (tRNA) molecules are approximately 80 nucleotides in length. The record is from RNAcentral. Lineage: Bacteria; Bacillati; Bacillota.
UGGUGUAGCUCAACUGUAGAGCUGGCGACUUAUAAUCGCUCGAUGCGGGUUCAACUCCCACCAGUACCAA